GAAAUGCGAUAAGUAAUGUGAAUUGCAGAAUUCAGUGAAUCAUCGAAUCUUUGAACGCACAUUGCGCCCCUUGGCAUUCCGAGGGGCAUGCCUGUUCGAGCGUCAUUACAACCCUCAAGCUCUGCUUGGUAUUGGGCGCCGUCCUCUCUGCGGACGCGCCUUAAAGACCUCGGCGGUGGCUGUUCAGCCCUCAAGCGUAGUAGAAUACACCUCGCUUUGGAGCGGUUGGCGUCGCCCGCCGGACGAACCUUCUGAACUUUUCUCAAGGUUGACCUCGGAUCAGGUAGGGAUACCCGCUGAACUUAA
RNAcentral lists this unclassified non-coding RNA (306 nucleotides) under uncultured Diplodia. RNAcentral describes it as "sequence contains ITS1". The stretch from base 1 to 105 matches the Rfam family "5.8S ribosomal RNA", at positions 50 to 154 of the family's 154-position model. The record is from RNAcentral. Lineage: Eukaryota; Fungi; Ascomycota; Dothideomycetes; Botryosphaeriales; Botryosphaeriaceae.